This is a long non-coding RNA of Octopus bimaculoides (California two-spot octopus), 532 nucleotides long. NCBI's taxonomy places the organism in Eukaryota, Metazoa, Mollusca, Cephalopoda, Octopoda, Octopodidae. The record is from RefSeq and is a predicted model, not a curated record.
UCGAAACACAGAGGGAACAACACAAGGUCAGAAAAAACACAAAAGUGGCGGAAAAAUAAAAUCGAACGAAAAGAAUGGUAAUGAUAAAUCAAAAGGUGGAAUGGCGUCUAUUCGAACCCCACACUCCAUUUAAGGUCAUUGAACGUUUUUAGAAAAAAAAAAUUGACACGUGUUAUUUUAUUUUUGUCUCUUCUCUUCUUGUUAUGCGCUGCUUGUUUUAUAUACUUUGUGGACGACUGACAUGCGUGAAGUGUGAGUUGGCCAGUGUCAAUACAAAAUUUUACAUUAUUUCCUUUUUCCGUUACUGGAGGAUAAACAAUACAUAUUUACAGUUCCAUUACCGGAUGAUAAUUACCGCAGAAGUUACAAGACACACAAGGCCGAUUGUUCAAAAGAAAAGGUGAAAAGCCGAUAAACUGAAUCGAAUACCCAGUAUAUAUUACAGAUUCAAGGCCAAUAGAGUUUAAUAUCGAUUCAACGAUUGAUUGUACGUCUUGCCAACCAGUGUAUUACUGGUAUUUAUAUAUCAUUG